RNAcentral lists this unclassified non-coding RNA (248 nucleotides) under uncultured fungus. RNAcentral describes it as "sequence contains ITS2". Lineage: Eukaryota; Fungi. The record is from RNAcentral.
AACGCACAUUGCGCCCCUUGGUAUUCCAUGGGGCAUGCCUGUUCGAGCGUCAUCUACACCCUCAAGCUCUGCUUGGUGUUGGGCGUCUGUCCCGCCUCUGCGCGCGGACUCGCCCCAAAUUCAUUGGCAGCGGUCUUUGCCUCCUCUCGCGCAGCACAAUUGCGUCUGCGGGGGGGCGCGGCCCGCGUCCACGAAGCAACAUUACCGUCUUUGACCUCGGAUCAGGUAGGGAUACCCGCUGAACUUAA